AUGCCGUGGUCUCCUAUCAAAGAGGAGGCUCCCUGCUGGGUGUCAGUGGAGCAGAGUCCGUUCGUCCUCGGCCUGACCAGUGAAAACGGAGAGCUGCUGCUGGACGAAGGCGUUCAGGUCACGGAGGGCUCCAAGAUCAAGGAGAGGCACCUGUUCCUCUUCAGCAACGUCCUCGUCUUCUCCAAAUCCAAGUCGACCACCGGCUACCGCCUGAAGCGCCGAGUGAGCCUCCAGGACGUUUGGCUCUACGGGUUUGAAGAUGAGGCGGUGGGAGAGGAGGGAGCGACGGGCGACAUCGACCUCAGGGUGACGCUCGUCUUGGCCUGGGAUCUCACCGUUUCUCUGGUGUGUUUCUGCUCGCCUGAGGUGAAAGAACGCUGGUUAGAUAUUCUUCACCGGUAAGAAAGAACAU
Gasterosteus aculeatus (three-spined stickleback) is the source of this 412-nucleotide long non-coding RNA. The record is from Ensembl. Lineage: Eukaryota; Metazoa; Chordata; Actinopteri; Perciformes; Gasterosteidae.